UUGAAAUGUUUGAAACACAAAAUUGAAGCUCAUUUGCCUAGGGAAGGUUUGGCCAAGCAAGGCCUGUCCUAAGGAUCGCAGGGGGCUAGGCCAAGUACAGACCAUUGGCAUUCUUUUUUUUUUUUUUAAACAUUUAUUUAUCUUUGAGAGACAGAGACAGAACAUGAGCAGGGGAGGAAUGGAGAGAAAGGGAGACACAGAAUCGGAAGCAGGCUCCAGGCUCUGAGCUGUCAGCACAGAGCCCGACGUGGGGCUCAAACUCACGAAUCGUGAGAUCGUGACCUGAGCUGAAAUCCAGUCGGACGCUUAACCGACUGAGCCACCCAGGCACCCCUGGUGUUCCUGACUCCACUUGCCACCCGAAGGCACGCUUUCUGGUUUCCCCGUGUCUGCCUGGUGCUCCUUCAAGCCCUGGUGCUUGAUUCAUCAGACCACGAUGAUCUGCUCUGGGGACAUGAAUGAAGAGUGCCAGGCUGACCAGAUCCUGGAAAGUUGGAUAAAAGGUCCAGACUCUGAGCGGCAGCCAACCAGCCAGUAUAUGCAAAUGGUGGACCAGUCACUUGCUUAGUGACCACAUCGGUGCCACCUACUCUCCCACAAAAUGAAGAACAGGGUCACUCAGCCUCCUAGGUAAUUAAUCCAGUUACCUGAAAAUUCAACCCUGUGCCUUUCUGAAGGCCCAGACAUAAUUUUUUUUGGUAAGUCAA
Long non-coding RNA from Neofelis nebulosa (Clouded leopard), 707 nucleotides. RefSeq lists it as uncharacterized. The record is from RefSeq and is a predicted model, not a curated record. The transcript is spliced from 2 exons. NCBI's taxonomy places the organism in Eukaryota, Metazoa, Chordata, Mammalia, Carnivora, Felidae.